RNAcentral lists this small nucleolar RNA (122 nucleotides) under Echinops telfairi (small Madagascar hedgehog). RNAcentral describes it as "Small nucleolar RNA SNORA61 (ENSETEG00000025192.1)". Lineage: Eukaryota; Metazoa; Chordata; Mammalia; Afrosoricida; Tenrecidae. The record is from RNAcentral.
GCCCUGCAGAUUCCUUACCCAUCAGACCUUCACGCUCACCUGGGUGGUUAUAAAGGGAGGAAAAAGGUCAAUGGAAACUGCCUUAAGUUGUUUCAUGGCACCUUAGUUAGUUCCAAAGAAUU